GACGAACGCUGGCGGCGUGCCUAACACAUGCAAGUCGAACGGAACUUCUUUAAAAGAUUUCUUCGGAAUGAAUUUGAUUAAGUUUAGUGGCGGACGGGUGAGUAACGCGUGAGUAACCUGCCUCUGAGAGGGGAAUAACAUUCUGAAAAGAAUGCUAAUACCGCAUAACAUAUAUUUAUCGCAUGGUAGAUAUAUCAAAGAUUUAUCGCUUAGAGAUGGACUCGCGUCCGAUUAGUUAGUUGGUGAGGUAACGGCUCACCAAGGCGACGAUCAGUAGCCGGCCUGAGAGGGUGAACGGCCACAUUGGGACUGAGACACGGCCCAAACUCCUACGGGAGGCAGCAGUGGGGAAUAUUGCACAAUGGGGGAAACCCUGAUGCAGCGACGCCGCGUGAGUGAUGAAGUAUUUCGGUAUGUAAAAACUCUAUCAGCAGGGAAGAUAAUGACGGUACCUGACUAAGAAGCACCGGCUAAAUACGUGCCAGCAGCCGACGG
RNAcentral lists this ribosomal RNA (495 nucleotides) under uncultured bacterium. RNAcentral describes it as "bacterial SSU rRNA". It matches the Rfam family "Bacterial small subunit ribosomal RNA", at positions 28 to 520 of the family's 1533-position model. The record is from RNAcentral.